RNAcentral lists this ribosomal RNA (483 nucleotides) under uncultured bacterium. RNAcentral describes it as "partial 16S ribosomal RNA". It matches the Rfam family "Bacterial small subunit ribosomal RNA", at positions 28 to 507 of the family's 1533-position model. The record is from RNAcentral.
GACGAACGCUGGCGGCGUGCUUAACACAUGCCAGUCGAACGCUGAAGCUCAGCUUUUGUUGGGUGGAUGAGUGGCGAACGGGUGAGUAACACGUGAGUAACCUGCCCCCUUCUUUGGGGUAACGCCCGGAAACGGGUGCUAAUACUGGAUAUUCACUGGUCUUCGCAUGGGGGUUGGUGGAAAGGGUUUUUCUGGUGGGGGAUGGGCUCGCGGCCUAUCAGCUUGUUGGUGGGGUGAUGGCCUACCAAGGCUUUGACGGGUAGCCGGCCUGAGAGGGUGACCGGUCACAGUGGGACUGAGAUACGGCCCAGACUCCUACGGGAGGCAGCAGUGGGGAAUAUUGCACAAUGGGCGCAAGCCUGAUGCAGCGACGCCGCGUGAGGGAUGGAGGCCUUCGGGUUGUGAACCUCUUUCGCUCAUGGUCAAGCCGCAACAAUGGUUGUGGUGAGGGUAGUGGGUAAAGAAGCGCCGGCUAACUACGUG